AUCCAGCUGACGAGUCCCAAAUAGGACGAAACGUGCGUUAAACUGGAU
This is a non-coding RNA of Schistosoma rodhaini, 48 nucleotides long. NCBI's taxonomy places the organism in Eukaryota, Metazoa, Platyhelminthes, Trematoda, Strigeidida, Schistosomatidae. The record is from Rfam.